This 5250-nucleotide long non-coding RNA is filed under the name Sus scrofa (pig). RNAcentral describes it as "lncRNA (ENSSSCG00000060794.1)". The record is from RNAcentral. Lineage: Eukaryota; Metazoa; Chordata; Mammalia; Artiodactyla; Suidae.
AACUUGUAAAACCCUAGGCACCUCAUCCUCGACCCCAAUAAAAGCAGAACCCUGGGCUGCCUGCUUCCUUUCUCUGCCUGUAGUCCUGCUGUGUAGCUGCAGGUGUGCCACAUACCCUUCAGGACUUGUGAGUAAAAAAAUCUCUUUUUUUUUUUCUGAAGUUCUCUGCUGGUUUCGUUGCUGAGGUGUGUUUUGCAAUCAAAAUAAGAAGCACAAGGGCCUGUUGAGCCACAACAUUGGCUACAAAAAGAGAAAUGUUUGUGGGGGGCUUGCAUUAGACCCAUGUAAGUGGCCCCAUGUUUCUAGCCAAUGGCAUUGCUGUAGAAAGUCUAAGACCUUGGCACCAAACGGUAUCCAGUUUAGAAAGUGGAAAACAUGGGGAAAAGAAGGCAGAGUAUAAACGGAGUGAUGUCUUUCAUUUCUAUUGCUGCUACUAAGCCAGGUUCCUUUGCCCAACAUGCAGCAAGCCAAAGGCUGAGAUGCUAAAAUUGGCAGCAGAGAAAAGGUUUAUUCAUUAGGCAGUCAAGCCAGGGGAUGGGAAAAUAAUAUCUCAUCUGCCUCCAUGAAGAUAAGGUUGAGAGAUACUUAUGGGAUAAAGAGGCAUGGGGAAAGGUCAUUGGAGGUAAGAAAAUUGAGGUAAUUGGUGUUCUGCUCAGCUGCAACAACACUACAAGCUUCUUUGUGGGAUGCAUGUUGAGAAAAUAGUGGAGUUAGCAACUUGUUACGAAAAGUGGGCCCAACUGCUCGCUGCUCUAAAGCUAAUAAAGACACAGGAUUGGUAGAAAAACGUUUGCUUUAUUUUGGACGUCAGCAAACAAGGCAGGGGGAGGGAACCUGUAUCAAAAGGCAGAAUUCCCCCUACUGACAACCAGUGGGCAAGAUCUUUUAAAGGAGAGUUUCAGGGGUGUAUAGGUGGAGGGAGGGGGCUACGAGCAAAGCAGCACAGUCAGCUCUGAUAGUCAGCUUGAAUGCUCAUACAGUGGUCUGAUCAGUGUUUCUGAAUGGUGGCAGCUUGUGUUAUGUCAUGGUUAUAGUCUGCUCAUCCUGGAGUUAACUUCUGCCUGGUGGAGGUUUCAGUUUCUACAAGACAGGUCACAGGAUGUGGCUCAGAAUAUUAUCUAUAGCCGUUGAGAAGGAACCAAAUGUCUUUGACUUAAGGACUAAAUUGUAAUUGUUUUGUUCUGUUUGUUUUCCUUUGCUUCUGCAUUUUCUCAUUUCUCUGAUUAAAUUUAUUCUUUUGCUAAAGCUUCUCUACAGACAAAAGGCAGAUAGAAGACAUUGUGGGGGGAAGGACCAUAGAGUUGUGUUCUGUUUCAUUCUGAGGGUGGAGUUUUUGGUUCUGUGAUGUCAAAAAUUCGCCGAAUGAACACUCUCAUUCCCAGCUGGAGGGUCGGUGGUCCCGACCAAUCUUAACUGGCUGAAGCUUGAAUUGGACAGACACUGACUCCAGCUUCCCAAAAAAUAACUCCCGCAAACACCUUAUGACUUCUAAGUUAGAGAUACUUAUCUAUAGGGGUAGUGGAAGGGUUUUGUAACUAUUGUUGAGGCUAUAGGAUGCUUGAAGGGUAUGCAAGUUUCAUAAAAACAAUUAAAAUGAGCUUGAUCAGUGAAAGCAGGUUACAGUUUAUUAUUUAUUAAGCAUAUUAUAGGUUAAUGGAUCUAACUGAUGGUUACGCUUGGUUUCAUUGCUGCCGUAACAAAUUAGCACAGAUUUAGUGGCUUAAAAAUGAUGCCCAUUUAUCACCUCAUAAUUGUGUACGGCAGAAUGCUGGGUGCAGCAUCACUUAGCUAAGUACUCUGCUUAGAGUCUGCAAGCCAUUUGUAAGGUAUUAGAGCUGUGGUCCUUUCUGGAGGCUCUGGGCAUCCACAUCCAGUCUCGUUCAGGCUGUCGGCCAGAUUCAACACAUUGCAGUUGUAGGACUGAGGUCCCUAUUUCCUUGCUGGCUGUUAGCCUGGAAUUAAUCUGAUCUUAGGGGCUGCCUGUGUUCCUUGCAUACUUUCCACGUGGCCUCCCUUCCUGGCAGUGGCUUAGUCUAUGGGUGGGGUCUCUGUCUCCUGCUUUCUUUUUUCUUCUCCUUCAUCUUCCAUUAUAUCUGACUCUUUUCCUUUCCCAUUCUGCUUCUAAGGGCUCAUGUGAUUACAUUGUACUCAUCCAUAUAAUCAAGAAUAAUCUCUCUAUUUGACAAUCAUCUGAGUAGUAAUUUUAAUUCCAUCUUCAAAGUCUUUUCACAGCAGUACAUAGAUUAGUGUUUGACUUAAUAACCAGAGAAUAGAAAUUGAAGGUGGGAAGUAGGGGGACUUUAGAAUUCUACCCACCACAGGUGAUACAAUAGAAAAUUAAUCCUAUUUGAAUAAAAGGAAGGAAACAGUUGAGUAGAGAGAGAUGAACUUGAACCAAUAGAUUGGGGCUUGAAAUUGUAAAGUUUUAUAUGCCAGGACAAAGGCCAUAGGGAGUAAGGAAAAGUUUCUUGUGCAGAGCAGUCAUGAAAUGAGAAUUAUACAUUAGGAUAAGUGAUUGCAGAACAUGGGCAGUGCAUUUUGUUUAGAAGAAGUUGCAGAAAAGAGUAAUCUCAGUUUACACAUUAUUGCAAUUGUGCAUGGUCAUUUCAACAAGAUUUAAUUUUGGUUUGAGUAGUAAAUGUAGCAAGAGGGACAGAUAUGAAUGCCUACCAGGGUCAAAUCUAAGACUGUCCCCUGAGUAAUUAGAGUGGAAAUGAAGGGAGGAGGAUAGAGUCGGGGAUAACUGUGGCAUCAGUGAUGAGAAAGAAGGUGGUGCUAUUAAUUGAAAAAGGGAAUAAAAGACAUGAGAAGAAGGUUAAGGUUCAUUUGGAUAGUUUCUGAGAGGAGUUUCCCAACAAGUAGUUGGAAAUAGGGUCAUGUGGGCUAGAGAGAGUAUUCCAGCAGCUCUCUGAAAAGAGAUGAGUGCCCAAGUUUGGGGGCACUUAUAAGACCAACGAGAAAGAUUUAGGAGGAGAUAUGGAGGGAGAAAAAUGAGAGCUUGAGAACAAAACAUAGAAGAAUGUCUAUCUUGUGAAUAGGAAUAAGAAAGAUGUUCAGUGAAGGUCACUGAGAAGGCUUCGUGGAAGUCAUGGAAGUGAUGGAAGGAAAUUUAAGUGACAUGAAAGGUGAAUGUGAGAGAAUUUCAGGAAGGAGGUGAUAGAUAAUGAUGUAAACUGAAAAAAAAGGUGGCUUUACUCUUAACUCUGGAAAAUAUUAGGAGUUUACCCAAAACCAGUUUGUUCUAAGAAAUGGAAAAAAGAUCUCAUGUGCAUUAUUGCAGAAUGUACAUAUAGCUGUGUUUUCAACUGUGCCCUUUGUUUGCAGAAAGCUACUAAAUAUUGCCCAUGAAGAGUCCCUAAUAAGGAAACAUCUCUUGGCUUCAAAAAUAUCUAGAUAACUCAUGAAAUGAUGGGGAAACAAAAUUAGGUUCAUUUUUCCUUGGAUUUUUAGGGGACAGAGAUACACCUGAAAACGUUGUUUCAGCUGCCAGAGAGAACCAGUGAUCUCUUUCCAAAAAGGACAUUUUCAAAAUAGAGUGGCAUGUUUUUGGCAGGUCACAGGUUUGUGUUUGUCAAAUAUUUCUGAUGUAAAGAGAAGAAAAAAACAAAGUGAUUCUUAAUUGGUUACCACUUGCCGAGAAAGCACACAAGUCCUCCAAGUUGUACAAAGCUCUCAAGUACUGCCUAUCCACCCUCAAAUAUAUUCCUCAACAAAAAUUGAAAUUGAAGAACUGUGGCUUUUGAAUAUAAUGGGGAAAAAUAGCCAGUUUCUUAUUUGUGCUAAAUUUGGAAAUACGUUUUUUGUAUAAGAAUUGUUUGAGCUAUCUAGUGGUGUUUUUGUUUUUCACUGGAGUUUGCCAUCAAAUGUGAAUUCUGUGCUAUUUCGUAAAAGCACAGUCCCCAAUUUUACUCUCGACUUCAGCAGACACACAGACAUGGCCAGUUGCCUGCCCAAUAGAUUCUGUGCUUUUGUUUAGGUAAUCCACUCUUAAGCAUGGCCCUGUAUCUCAGUCGCCCAUCCCUAGGAAUCCCAUUCUUCUUUUCUUGUAAGUGGUUUGGGAGUAGGUAUAAGAUAGAAUUCUGGCCAAAGACAGGCAAGGAGAAGUCUUCUGGGAACAUUGCUGGGAGAACUUGUUCUACUUGUAAUAAGGUAUGUAAGAAAGAAUAUGUUCCUCUCCUUCUGUUGGAAAUUUUUAUGUCUGAAAAUUAUCUCUAGAAUUGUAGAAGCCAUUUGGUGACCCUCUGGGCAAAACCAGCAGACUGAAAAUGGUUAUGGGAAAAGAGGAAUGUACAUGUGUCCUUGACGUUGUUGACUGAUGAAUGGGCCAAGUUAAAGUUACCAUACCUUGGGAUUUCUUCAGAGUUAUUUUCCCUAAUAUAAGGACAUUUUGAGUUGGAUUUUUGACUUAUCAAAAAUGUAUUAACUGAUCAUCUGCCAUCCCACUUUCUCUAGGAAGUCUGGAGGGUGUGAUUCAUGAGUCGGAGGAUGAAAUAGGCAAAGUCUGAAAGUCUAGGCCAUGGGCCACUUUAGCACUGGUCCAGAGAAUACUAUUCAGCCUUUGCAGAGAACUAAAAGCAGAGGGAAAAAGUCCCAAAACUUCUUGACAAACAGCUUCUCAGGUCCAAUUUGAAAAUGAGGAAUAUAGAGAAAAAUUCUUUGAAAACUGAAGUACAGUACGAUCACUAAUUGGUAUGAUUCAAAUCACAUAUCAGGGAUGGAGUUAAGCAGGAUCUUGUUUGUUGUCAUUGUUUCAAAGCAGGAUGUUGUGGGUAUGGAGUUCUCAGUAAAGAGGCCAGAGCUGGAUGAGUAUGCGAAAAGCAGAGCAGUGGAUAGCAAAACUUUAUGGACUUGUGUGGUUUCAACAUAUUCAUUGAACAAUGCUUUGACCAGAAACCAGAGAUCUUAGCCUGAGCUUCUCACAUGCUUAAUUGAGGUAAAAUAUACUUUGGCACACACUUAGACACAUUAUUAAUCCUUUUGAAGAUAGCUUUCACUUGAACAAGUGGUGUAAAUUAGAAAUUGUCACAAAGAAAUGUGCCAUUUUUUUGAUGCAAGCAGAAUCAGAUGAUUUGAUAUGAUUACUGGUUAAAAUAUAAUUGCAAAGCACCCGUACUUCUGAUAAAUGUUGAAGACUUCACUGAGGAGUCAAGAGAUUAUUCUUGGAUAUAAAGUCAGUAGAGAAUGCAUAUGUAAAGUGCUCUUACCAGAUUUAUGCUGAAACACCAUAAAAAGAAAACACACACUACAAAU